UACGAAGGGGGCUAGCGUUGCUCGGAAUCACUGGGCGUAAAGGGUGCGUAGGCGGGUCUUUAAGUCAGGGGUGAAAUCCUGGAGCUCAACUCCAGAACUGCCUUUGAUACUGAAGAUCUUGAGUUCGGGAGAGGUGAGUGGAACUGCGAGUGUAGAGGUGAAAUUCGUAGAUAUUCGCAAGAACACCGGUGGUGAAGACGGUCUCCUGGGCCGAGGGCCGACGCUGAGGCGCGAGAGCGUGGGGAGCGAACCGG
This 254-nucleotide ribosomal RNA is filed under the name uncultured bacterium. RNAcentral describes it as "partial 16S ribosomal RNA". It matches the Rfam family "Bacterial small subunit ribosomal RNA", at positions 524 to 776 of the family's 1533-position model. The record is from RNAcentral.